GACGAACGCUGGCGGCGUGCUUAACACAUGCAAGUCGAACGGAAAGGCCCCUUUGGGGGUACUCGAGUGGCGAACGGGUGAGUAACACGUGAGUAACCUGCCCUUGACUUCGGGAUAACUUCAGGAAACUGGGGCUAAUACCGGAUAGGAAUCCUUGCUGCAUGGGGGGGGUUGGAAAGCUUCGGCGGUUUUGGCUGGACUCGCGGCUUAUCAGCUUGUUGGUGGGGUAGUGGCUUACCAAGGCUUUGACGGGUAGCCGGCCUGAGAGGGCGACCGGCCACAUUGGGACUGAGAUACGGCCCAGACUCCUACGGGAGGCAGCAGUGGGGAAUAUUGCACAAUGGGCGGAAGCCUGAUGCAGCAACGCCGCGUGCGGGAUGACGGCCUUCGGGUUGUAAACCGCUUUCAGCAGGGGCGAAGCUUGUGGUGACGGUACCUGCAGAAGAAGCACCGGCUAACUACGUG
RNAcentral lists this ribosomal RNA (465 nucleotides) under uncultured bacterium. RNAcentral's name for it is "partial 16S ribosomal RNA". It matches the Rfam family "Bacterial small subunit ribosomal RNA", at positions 28 to 507 of the family's 1533-position model. The record is from RNAcentral.